This is a long non-coding RNA of Lates calcarifer (barramundi perch), 900 nucleotides long. RefSeq lists it as uncharacterized. The record is from RefSeq and is a predicted model, not a curated record. NCBI's taxonomy places the organism in Eukaryota, Metazoa, Chordata, Actinopteri, Centropomidae. The transcript is spliced from 5 exons.
UGUAUGUUAUAAACACAUCUAUCCACUUCAACUCAGGAAUGUCAUUCAGCAGGUUGAGGUAUGUAAGCUCUGUGUUCUCGUAAGUGUGUUUACUCCGAACUGAAGCAAGACUGAAAUGUGUGUUAAUCGCCACAUAUGAAACAUAAGCUCAUUAUGGCCUUUCACAGGGAAUGACAGAGACAGCAAUCCACUGAAUGUCUCACAGAGGUGUCAGAGGUGCACAGACCAGAGGUUAGUGUGCUGUAUGGAGGAGGAGAUCGAGCAGAGGGAAAUGCAUUUCAACCACACCACUCCUCACAUUUCACCCCUGAGUCCCAAACCUGGAUUUCCUGGUUACUAUGCCCUCAUCUCCUUAGCACUACUCACUCUGAUUGGAUGUAUAGUGGCAGUGGUUGUGUAUAUUAAGAGGAAAUCAAGAUUAGAUGAGCUACGUCACAGGCUGAUCCCUCUGUACAGCUACGACCCCUGCAGAGGAACAAGACUGGGGAGACAAUGACAGGAAGGAUGAGGAGGAGGAGCUGGCUGAACCCUUGUGCAAGGAAGGAAAGCUCACCUUCUCAUCUCCUUAUGGAACCUGAAAAGAAAGACAGAAAGAAGAAUUUUUAUAAAUAUUUUGAGAGUGUCUUGAGGAGAUAAUCUUUCAGCAAAAAUGUGAAACUAGAGGAACCAUACAGAUCAUCAAAUUGAUAAGAAAUUCAACAGUUAUUGGCAGAGCACCUAAUUAUUAAAUUACUAUUUCUUGCCUCAUGACACAUGAUUGCAGCACACCAGACAGUAGAUGGCACUGUGUUCCUGUUUUUGUCUCAUUUGAGAAAUGUGCUUUUUUAAGAUGGCAUAAAGUCUUUUGAAGAAUAGGGCAAGAUGUUAUUCUUGGGCAAUAAACUAAAAGCUAAAAUCCAA